RNAcentral lists this ribosomal RNA (383 nucleotides) under uncultured Pseudomonas sp. Its description in RNAcentral is "bacterial SSU rRNA". It matches the Rfam family "Bacterial small subunit ribosomal RNA", at positions 1006 to 1382 of the family's 1533-position model. Lineage: Bacteria; Pseudomonadati; Pseudomonadota; Gammaproteobacteria; Pseudomonadales; Pseudomonadaceae. The record is from RNAcentral.
AGAUAGCUGUGUCCUUCGGACGAAGGAGACGAGGUGGUGGCAUGGUUGUCGUCAGCUCGUGUCGUGAGAUGUUGGGUUAAGUCCCGUAACCGAGCGCAACCCUUGUCCUUAGUUACCAGCACGUCAAGGUGGGCGACUCUAAGGAGACUGCCGGUGACAAACCGGAGGAAGGUGGGGAGUGACGUCAAGUCAUCCAUGGCCCUUACGGCCUGGGCUACACACGUGCUACAAUGGUCGGUACAAAGGGUUGCCAAGCCGCGAGGUGGAGCUAAUCCCAUAAAACCGAUCGUAGUCCGGAUCGCAGUCUGCAACUCGACUGCGUGAAGUCGGAAUCGCUAGUAAUCGUGAAUCAGAAUGUCACGGUGAAUACGUUCCCGGGCCUU